AUCCUUUUGUAGUUCAUGAGCAUGAUGAUUGGGAGUUCCCACCCAUGUGUGAGAUGAGCCACCCUCGAACCUUGUUACCAUGUCAACAUAUUACCUGUCUGACA
Small nucleolar RNA from Macaca fascicularis (crab-eating macaque), 104 nucleotides. NCBI's taxonomy places the organism in Eukaryota, Metazoa, Chordata, Mammalia, Primates, Cercopithecidae. The record is from Ensembl.